This is a long non-coding RNA of Populus trichocarpa (black cottonwood), 1312 nucleotides long. RefSeq lists it as uncharacterized. The transcript has 3 exons. Lineage: Eukaryota; Viridiplantae; Streptophyta; Magnoliopsida; Malpighiales; Salicaceae. The record is from RefSeq and is a predicted model, not a curated record.
CUAUAUAUUUACCAUUCAAGAAGGUUAUCAAAUCUAUGGUGGAACUUCGGCGACCUGAAAUCUCAUUUCCUCCGUUCUGGUAUUCCUGAGCAGUCGUUGAAGUUAAUAUUCAGAGUUACUUCCUCGGUUGCCAUUUCACUGCCGAAAGAGUUGAUUUUUCUUAUUUUUAUAUUUUUUAUAUGUGACUGUGGAGUGACUUGUCAGGUAUGUACUGGGAAGUUUUCCUCAACACGUCUCCGCAGAAAAUCAAUUGAAAGGCUUUGGUGGGUCUACAAGCUGGUACACUGAUAAUAUUUCGAGAGGAGGUUCUUACACCAGCCUUUCGACGACUAAUCUCUAUGCGGCAACCUUACGAUAGAUUUCCCACAGGCCACAUCCAAAUGUUUGCCCCACAGCAUGUGUGUUGAACCCUAGACAGCUUCUGCGAAGCUUCCUUCCUGCCUCAAUUCUUGGGAAUAUCUCUUUCGAAUCUUGGUACCUCGGCAUAACUUCUAAAAUCCCAGUUUCUUAAUUAAACAAUAAAAAAAAAUCAAUGGAUAGCAGUUUUUUGGGUAAUCAGAGGGAUACAUAUUAUAGAUAUGUAAUUAUCGAUUAUCUGUUAUCAUCCCUUUUUCUUAAAGGUUUUGUUUUUUUCUUCUUAUAAAACUGUUGAACUGCAUAAUUUAUAAGAAGACAAAUUUCCUUCAAGAAUUAAUAUUACAAAAUAGACAACAUCAAAUUUGAAUUACAUCUCUUGCCCAAAUCGAGGGGCCAAAGUUUCUCAUGAAUGUUUCGAGAAUAUAUAUGUAAGCACAUGCACAUACAGACGACAAUAAUUACAAGCUCAUGCAAUUUCCUCGAAGUUUCCUCCUCUUCGGCAGAGGGCUAAACAAAAUCGGCGUGCAGCUUCAGCUUUUUGGAAGUGGAGGCAUCUGUAGAAUUUAACACAAACAGGAGCUUGUCUAGGAAGUGAUGGAAUCUGAUGAUCUUGCUUGUGCUAAGGUAGGGAGCCCUUUGGGCCACAAAAGAGCUCCUUAUACUUAUUCGAGAGUGGCUACGUCGGUGGAGGAAUCCGGCUGUCUUCCUUGGUGGAACUCCCGUCAUGAAUAGCUUCAAUAAAACCCAUUCUUUUGCCUUGAUAGUCACCUUCUCUGUCUGGUACUCCUUGAAUUUAUUUGGAAUAACAUUAGGAUAAUGAUAAGAUAGUCCACAACGAUUUGGACUCUCUUCCAAUUGUAAUGUAUGCCUUACUAUCUUGACCUUUAAGUGUUUAGACAUUAGUAUUAUCUAUUUUGGAAGCUUUACAAAAGCUAUAGAGGUCAUCUUCCUAUCA